Molecule: long non-coding RNA, 204 nt
Organism: Centropristis striata (black sea bass)
Lineage: Eukaryota; Metazoa; Chordata; Actinopteri; Perciformes; Serranidae
Exons: 4
Source: RefSeq, a predicted model, not a curated record
UGGAUUAAUAUUGAAGAGAACUCUGCUGGCGCUCUAAAAUGGGGUUCAGCUCUUGGAGCGAUCAUCUUCAUCCUGUGCCUCGCCAUCUGUGUUUGGUGCUUGAAGUCCAAAUGUCAAACUCCACAACCAACUCAGAGUCCAAAUGGUGAAGAUCCAGCCAGCAAAAGAGAAGAAGACAUCCAUUAUGGAGAGAUCAGCUUCUCC